Molecule: ribosomal RNA, 461 nt
Filed under: Streptococcus sp. oral taxon 064
Lineage: Bacteria; Bacillati; Bacillota; Bacilli; Lactobacillales; Streptococcaceae
Description: bacterial SSU rRNA
Rfam family: Bacterial small subunit ribosomal RNA
Source: RNAcentral
GACGAACGCUGGCGGCGUGCCUAAUACAUGCAAGUAGAACGCUGAAGGAGGAGCUUGCUCUUCUGGAUGAGUUGCGAACGGGUGAGUAACGCGUAGGUAACCUGCCUGGUAGCGGGGGAUAACUAUUGGAAACGAUAGCUAAUACCGCAUAAUAGUAGAUGUUGCAUGACAUUUGCUUAAAAGGUGCAAUUGCAUCACUACCAGAUGGACCUGCGUUGUAUUAGCUAGUUGGUGAGGUAACGGCUCACCAAGGCAACGAUACAUAGCCGACCUGAGAGGGUGAUCGGCCACACUGGGACUGAGACACGGCCCAGACUCCUACGGGAGGCAGCAGUAGGGAAUCUUCGGCAAUGGACGGAAGUCUGACCGAGCAACGCCGCGUGAGUGAAGAAGGUUUUCGGAUCGUAAAGCUCUGUUGUAAGAGAAGAACGAGUGUGAGAGUGGAAAGUUCACACUGGACG